UGCCAGCGCCGCGGUAAUACGAAGGGUGCAAGCGUUACUCGGAAUUACUGGGCGUAAAGCGUGCGCAGGUGGUGCGUUAAGUCCGAUGUGAAAGCCCUGGGCUCAACCUGGGAAUGGCAUUGGAUACUGGCGUGCUCGAGUACGGUAGAGGGUGGCGGAAUUCCCGGUGUAGCAGUGAAAUGCGUAGAGAUCGGGAGGAACAUCCGUGGCGAAGGCGGCCACCUGGACCAGUACUGACACUGAGGCACGAAAGCGUGGGGAGCAAACAGG
This 270-nucleotide ribosomal RNA is filed under the name uncultured prokaryote. RNAcentral describes it as "partial 16S ribosomal RNA". It matches the Rfam family "Bacterial small subunit ribosomal RNA", at positions 506 to 776 of the family's 1533-position model. The record is from RNAcentral.